Molecule: small RNA, 173 nt
Organism: Bacteroides nordii CL02T12C05
Lineage: Bacteria; Pseudomonadati; Bacteroidota; Bacteroidia; Bacteroidales; Bacteroidaceae
Rfam family: Bacteroides sRNA BTnc231
About the family: An uncharacterized small RNA discovered in Bacteroides thetaiotaomicron
Source: Rfam
ACGUUUUUUUCAUAGAGAUUUAGAUUUAAGGUUAGAAGAAUUGCGGAAGUCGUGAGACUUCCCUUUUUUUCGCUUUAACGUUUACUGCCAUAAAGAAUUCAUGAUACAUUGAAUUCGCUUCAAUCUAAAGGCAAGUAAACAAGAAAAGCCCCUUCGAGAGAAGAGGCUUUUUA